GCAGCGGACUUCCGGGGUGGCGCCAUCGGUAAUGGCGGAUUCCCUCUGACUCGGAGGGGACCGGCUCUGCGGAAAUCGGGUCUGUACCGCUACGGCGAAGCGGGGACCCUUCAAAAAUCACAGGCGGGUGAAGCCUGUGACCGUGGGACUCGGCGGGCACCUUUUGCGCCCCCCCAAUUUGCAAAGGAGCCCGAUUACGGGUUCCGGAGUGAAGCGGGGAAGCGGCGCGGUGCUGUGAGUCAACUGCUUCUUCCGUGGAGUGAAGCCGCACAGCCGUUACCGGAGAGCGCUACCUUUUCCUGUGACAAUUUGGCUACAAAACAACGAUCCGUGAGUAGGCUAAUUUGGGAAUUAAAGGAG
This is a non-coding RNA of Podarcis lilfordi (Lilford's wall lizard), 360 nucleotides long. NCBI's taxonomy places the organism in Eukaryota, Metazoa, Chordata, Lepidosauria, Squamata, Lacertidae. The record is from the annotation of a GenBank genome assembly.